Molecule: ribosomal RNA, 1259 nt
Filed under: Kathroperla perdita
Lineage: Eukaryota; Metazoa; Arthropoda; Insecta; Plecoptera; Chloroperlidae
Description: partial 28S ribosomal RNA
Rfam family: Eukaryotic large subunit ribosomal RNA
Source: RNAcentral
UCCCGCGUAAUUUAAGCAUAUUAAUAAGCGGAGGAAAAGAAACUAACUAGGAUUCCCUCAGUAGCUGCGAGCGAACAGGGAGGAGCCCAGCACUGAAUCCUGCGCGCAAAGCACGCGUCUGGAAAUGUAGUGUUUGGGAGGGCCCGUUCAUCUCGUCGGGGUGCGCCAGUCCAAGUCCGUCUUGAAAGCGGCCACAGCCCGUAGAGGGUGCCAGGCCCGUCUGACGGCGCGACGAGCAUUUCCCCGGCGAAAGGGNNNNNNNNNNNNNNNNNNNNNNNNNNNNNNNNNNNNNNNNNNNNNNNNNNGGCCCGUACGGUUCGCACCCCCGGGGCGUCUCGUUGUCAUUGCGACACAGUAGGCGCACCCAGAGCGUACACGUUGGGACCCGAAAGAUGGUGAACUAUGCCUGGUCAGGUCGAAGUCAGGCUGGCACUCGGAGGUGAUGUGCGACGCCCGCGCUUAACUGCCGGGUGCGCACGCUGCCAGUCUCAUCUGGUAAAGCGAAUGAUUAGAGGCCUUGGGGCCGAAACGACCUCAACCUAUUCUCAAACUUUAAAUGGGUGAGAAAGUCGACUUGCUUAAAUGCACACAAUGAAGUCGACGUGUGCCUAACGAACACACGAUGAGAGCGGAUGAGAGAGUGCCAAGUGGGCCAUUUUUGGUAAGCAGAACUGGUGCUGUGGGAUGAACCAAACGUCGAGUUAAGGCGCCUAAUUCGAUGCUCAUGGGAUACCAUGAAAGGCGUUGGUUCGAUGUUGAUGUGCAGUCGUAUAAACCGCUCUCUCGAGAGACUCGACUCGGUUUGACCACAUCGGGCGAAAGGGAAUCCGGUUCCUAUUACGGAACCCGGCUGCGGAACCGACCAUGCGGGCCAAUGCGAAGCCGCGACUCACCGUACGUACCGCCGCACGUGUCGGGUGCCCCCCUCCGCCUCGCGCGGUGCGGGGGAUAACACCGGGCCGUCGGAGACGGCGUGCGCGUCGCGCGCCUAGCAACUCGUCGGGGUAACCCAAAGGGACCCGGAGACGCCGCCGGAUGAUCGAGGCAGAGUUUUCUGUUCUGCAUAAGCAUUCGAGUUCCCUGGAAUCGCCUAGCGCGGAGAUAGGGUUUGGAAUGCGAAGAGCACCGCACUUGCGGCGGUGUCUCGAUCUAUCUCGCGGACCUUGAAAAUCCGGGAGAGGGCCACGUGGAGGUGUCGCGCCGGAUCGUACCCAUAUCCGCAGCAGGUCUCCAAGGUGAGCAGCCUCUAGUCGAUAGAA